This is a long non-coding RNA of Lepisosteus oculatus (spotted gar), 2300 nucleotides long. NCBI's taxonomy places the organism in Eukaryota, Metazoa, Chordata, Actinopteri, Semionotiformes, Lepisosteidae. The record is from Ensembl.
AUUGCUUCAUUGGAAUAUUUGCACUUUGCUACCUCUCCGAUUGUUAGUCCUUCUUAUGUUGACAGGUAUGGGAGAAUUCCCCUCUACCUCUCCACGUCCCUCACUGAGGAUAUUCACUCAACUGGCACUUUUUACACCGAUGCGUUCAACUCGGCUUUGACCUCUGAGCAACCAGCUUUCAAAUCAUCCCCGUACAAAGCAUUAAUCUCUCCUCCACCCACCACAAGCCAAGGNAUCAUUCGACCCAACCGACUCUGUACUGUACCUUCCUUUCAGAGGUUACCCCUCACUCACCAUUCAUCUCUACGGCAGCUGCUCCUCCUUGGUCAGGGACGCGGCUCUUUGACUUCACUAAACACCACUCACUCCCCUGGCACUGUAACUGCCACUCUGCGGAUUUCUGACAGAGACCGCACACCUGUCUUCUGAUGGCGGCGCACAGAAGACUCCCUUCCCUCCCACAGAAGAGCUCUGCCUCCCCUCCCACCACCUCCAGGACCCAGACCAGACUCCUGCUGCCUUCCUCCUGGCUGCUCUUAUACUCCUGCCCAUUAAGACGAGGGCGUGGCCAGUUUCACUCAGGGCCUAUCAGAAUUGCUCCUCUCUCUCCCUGUGGUAGAGGACCCCCCUAAAUUAAUGUUAUUAUCCCAUGAAACUAGGUGUGCCUUGUUAUUAAUUCGGCCUUUCUCCUUGAUUGGGGGCUAUUAAACAAAGCCAACCCCUCACGACCUCGCAGGUCACAGCUAGGUUUCAAUGUCUGCUGUGGGAAAACAAGUCCAUGGAAUCAUUUCCCUCAGUGUAUAGAAACACUGGUAAAUGUCUCACCACAACUACACAUGUAACCUCAUGUAAAUUCUAACCUCCUCUGUGUAGAAAAGCCACCUCAGAGCUGAAAUAUGCUACCACUACCCAGAUGACCUGAAGGAGCUGCCUUUCACGCCCAGAAAUCAAAUCUUUACACUCUCCCCCCCGAGAAACCAUUCUUUUCCAUUAUGUUCUCUCAAACAUCUGUCAACCUUUCCCGUCACUGCACCUGUUUCGAAAAAAAACCAACCAAAUUUACAGUAAACCUUGUUGUUCCUGUUGCCAUGGCGACGCCAUAAACCUCCUCCUGACCCACAAGCUUCGCCAUGGCAACCUGGACAGAAAAGAACAGAUGAUCAGAACGCGCUGUUAGGAGACGAUUAAAAUAAGCAUUUUAUAGAAGAGACAGCUGCAGUGGAACUGAAGUGACGCGCGCACACAGAUUGUUAUCAUUUAACUGGAUAUAUGCAUGUGUUUCUACGACACUAAACAAUUUCCAACCUAGCUGUCAGCAAUACAAGUUCCUCUGUGGUCUGUUUUGGAUACAACACAGGUGAACAAUCUUCCAUGGUACUUAUUAAGCCAGAACCAAUUUUUAUUACUUUAACAAAUGGCAUUCCGCUUGAAGGUUUUUAUCAAAAUACUUAAUAUCAGGAUUUAUUUAGGAAAGGUGAGCAGUGUCCUAAAAAAAACUAAAUAUUUUCUCUUUACUAACUGGAAAUGAUCUCUUAUGCAUCUAAGACACCAAAUGAAGCACUGAUCUUCAGUAGCUCACAUCAACAUAUACAUGUAAAAAUGCUAGCCUCUAACGUUUGCCAUUAAAAAGCUUGCAGGAUCAUCUGAACCUCAUAAAUCACCACACAGUAAUACUCUGGGAUUAUUAAAUACACAUACAGUGAGGCCACAGACUAACAAUAGAACAAAUUCUUAAGGGGGAAUUCAUUCAGGUUUUUUAAACCCUGAAAAGCAAGGUACAACUCAAUGCACAGGGCAUCUUCAGGCACCUGAAGCACAUGUGAGAAGUAAGUUCAGGAGCAUACAGGAUAGAAAACAAGAGACCUGUUUCUGUGGGAGUCCGUAACAAAAGCCCUAGCCACAUUGCUGAAGCCAAACCAAUAAACUCCUUCCAGAAACGGCUUGAUGACAUUUGUGGUUCAAAAGCGCAAGAAGACAAAUAGCACACAUGGGUGUGUGUUUUGUUUCCAGAGACUCCUAUUAAAGCAGAAUAAAAUAGCUUUAGAGCAUAUACUGUAGGUUACCAUAGACGGCAAAUGGAUGAAACACACGCAAGAGAUUUAAAUCGUAUUUCGCAAAGGAAUGUAUUAACAUGUAACUAAAUGGAACAAGUAUUACGUUCAGUAAAGUAUGUGCUUGGAGUACAGAUUGUGCAAUUUUAUAUUUUUUACCCUAAAAAAAAUCUCAUCUGCGGAUUAUAAAUUGGGAAAUAAAGUGCCCCUACUGCAGGGGUGUCAGAAUCAGUUCCUGGAGUGUCUUCU